Molecule: transfer RNA, 75 nt
Filed under: Euryarchaeota archaeon CG_4_9_14_3_um_filter_38_12
Lineage: Archaea; Methanobacteriati; Methanobacteriota
Description: tRNA-Glu
Rfam family: tRNA
About the family: Transfer RNA (tRNA) molecules are approximately 80 nucleotides in length. Their secondary structure includes four short double-helical elements and three loops (D, anti-codon, and T loops).
Source: RNAcentral
AGCCCCGUAGUGUAGUGGUCAACAUCCCUUCGGGCUUUCCACCUUGGGACACAGGUUCGAAUCCUGUCGGGGCUA